GGUGAGAGUAAGUUAGGACUGACCUGCCCACUCAUCAGAAUAAUGUUAGACACUGAUAUGGAUUAACCCUUUCUUUCUUCCUCCUAGCAUAUCAUACUCUUGUUGUAAAGUGUGACCUUUGGUUGACAGAACCAAGAGGGACCGAGGAGGAGCAAGACUGAGAGCCAAAACCUGGAGGACCAGUCGAGAACACACAGUUAAAACGCCAGGUCAACUACUAUCCUUCCCACAGUGCAGUGGGCUCCACAAUGACGUCGCCUUGCUAAGCUGUGUAUUGAUAUGGAGCACAGUUAUCAAAUGAGGACUCUACCAAAACUCCUCUUCCGUUUAUUUGCAUCAGAAAUCCAGCAGUGUGAUAUCAGUGUGGCUGCUCAGAGGGAACACGGGACUGACAGUGAGAAAGGAGGAAGAGGAGGAGGAGGAGGAGAGGACGCGUCACAUCGGGAGGGUUGUUACAGUAAACAGGAAGGAAGCACAUUUCACCACAACACCAUCAGACACGUGGGAGCGGAGCACGCUGGAAGUCUGGUACUAGACUCGUACUGAAUGAAGCAGACGGCUCUGGGAUCAGCCACAGCUCUCACACUGUCUACAGACAGUGUCCGCUUUUCACCAUCAACACUGACAGUGUUUACGGCGUGCUACGUCACUUCCCAGGCAGCUAGUUAAAGGGACUGACGUGCUGACGGUGUCCUGUCUGCAUUAUCACGUGGAGCACAAGAACCUCCGCGCGUGCUUGUUUGCCCUGUAGCUCUGCCGACUUGGCACCAUGGGUGAUCGAAUUGCAUCCUUUAAGGCGCAACUGAAAACACGUGUUCAGACUGGCCUUCUCUGAUGCUCCCUAAUGUUUUCAGACAUCCAUGUGUGUCCUGUCUCCAGCCCAAUAUAUUGGAGUGUUGGCUUCUCCAUACUUCCCAGCCUCUCCACCAACUAGCCCACUGCCUGCGCACCUCUGCCACCAGUCAGUCUUCACCAGAGUCUCCCCAAGGAUCCUGGCACCUUAACCCAGCCUGCCACUGCACUUCUCUGCAUGCAGUGGAGCUUCAUGACCCCUCCCCUCACGGAACCCUCUUUACUGGCUUCACUGAACUACCCCUGAACUGCAUUAUUAUCCCUCCGAUUGUUGAAUACAUCAUCUAAUAACCUGG
This is a long non-coding RNA of Acanthopagrus latus (yellowfin seabream), 1148 nucleotides long. RefSeq lists it as uncharacterized. NCBI's taxonomy places the organism in Eukaryota, Metazoa, Chordata, Actinopteri, Spariformes, Sparidae. The transcript has 4 exons. The record is from RefSeq and is a predicted model, not a curated record.